CGGACGGGUGAGUAACGCGUGGAGAACCUGCCGUAGUACUGGGGGAUAACACUUAGAAAUAGGUGCUAAUACCGCAUAAGCGCACAGCUUCGCAUGAAGCAGUGUGAAAAACUCCGGUGGUAUACGAUGGAUCCGCGUCUGAUUAGCUGGUUGGCGGGGUAAAGGCCCACCAAGGCGACGAUCAGUAGCCGGCCUGAGAGGGUGAACCGGCCACAUUGGGACUGAGACACGGCCCAAACUCCUACGGGAGGCAGCAG
This 257-nucleotide ribosomal RNA is filed under the name uncultured bacterium. RNAcentral describes it as "partial 16S ribosomal RNA". It matches the Rfam family "Bacterial small subunit ribosomal RNA", at positions 99 to 354 of the family's 1533-position model. The record is from RNAcentral.